RNAcentral lists this ribosomal RNA (560 nucleotides) under uncultured bacterium. RNAcentral's name for it is "bacterial SSU rRNA". It matches the Rfam family "Bacterial small subunit ribosomal RNA", at positions 338 to 916 of the family's 1533-position model. The record is from RNAcentral.
CCUACGGGAGGCAGCAGUGAGGAAUCUUGGACAAUGGGGGAAACCCUGAUCCAGCGACGCCGCGUGAGUGAUGAAGCCUUUCGGGGUGUAAAGCUCUUUCAGCGGGGACAAUCAUGAUGGUACCCGCACAAGCAGCUGCGGCUAACUACGUGCCAGCAGCCGCGGUAAUACGUAGGCAGCAAGCGUUGUUCGGAAUUACUGGGCGUAAAGCGAGUGUAGGCGGUCUGCCAAGUCUGUUGUGAAAUCUCCCGGCUCAACUGGGAGGGUGCGUCGGAAACUGGCAGGCUCGAGUGCGAGAGGGGAGAGUGGAAUUCCUGGUGUAGCGGUGGAAUGCGUAGAUAUCAGGAGGAACACCGGUGGUGAAGACGGCUCUCUGGAUCGCCACUGACGCUGAGACUCGAAAGCGUGGGGAGCAAACAGGAUUAGAUACCCUGGUAGUCCACGCCCUAAACGAUGCAUACUUGGUGUGGGCUCUUCACUGAGUCCGUGCCGGAGCUAACGCGUUAAGUAUGCCGCCUGGGGAGUACUGUCGCAAGGCUGAAACUCAAAGGAAUUGACGG